GGAUGGCCCUCUCUGUGCCUGCGGCUCUGCACUCAGCGCUUGAGUGUCCACUGCAAAGCCCCAUGGAGCAGGGCGCUGGAGUGGAGAACAGUGAGAUCCCUUCCCUGCGGAACCCUGUGUUUUGGUGCCAGGGGACAUUCGGUGGACCUAUAAAAGAGACAUGAGGCUCUAAUAGGAAAAAAUAUGAUGGAGGCAAUGCAAACUUCCCUUUGUGCCUGGAAGACGGCUGCCGGGCUCCCAGCUGUGGCCUCAUCUCCCCACUGGGCAUCAGCACUUGAUUUGGAACGGCCUCCCAGAGGCAUCUGUCUCUACACUUCCAGAAGUGCGCGCACGACCUCCUCCAAGCUGGCUGGUCCUGUAUUUCUGUUCUUCGAGAAGAAGCAAGAAGCAUCCCAUCACCUGGGUCACACACCCGGGGUCCUCUUGGAGCCCCCUUCCUCCCCGCCUUUAGUCGGGCUCCGUGAUUUCCUGGCUCUGGUUCUGACGGUCCCCAGCACCCAAGCCUCCUCUUCCAUCCCUUCCCUUUACUUCAGGACCUUGGCCUCCGUUACCUGGGCCUCUUCCCCAGCCUCCUCACUUCGGCCUCCAGUCUCCUCCCUUCCUAUCUUUCCUUGAGGACUGUGUUGUCCGGUACUGUAACCACCAGCCACUUGCGGCUUUAAGACAUGUAAAUUAAUCAAAAUUAAAUAAAAUGACAAAAUCAGU
Molecule: long non-coding RNA, 705 nt
Organism: Chinchilla lanigera (long-tailed chinchilla)
Lineage: Eukaryota; Metazoa; Chordata; Mammalia; Rodentia; Chinchillidae
Exons: 2
Source: RefSeq, a predicted model, not a curated record